GUUGGUGAGGUAACGGCCCACCAAGGCAACGAUCGGUAGCCGGACUGAGAGGUUGAACGGCCACAUGGGACUGAGACACGGCCCAGACUCCUACGGGAGGCAGCAGUGGGGAAUAUUGCACAAUGGGGGAAACCCUGAUGCAGCGACGCCGCGUGGAGGAAGAAGGUCUUCGGAUUGUAAACUCCUGUUGUUGAGGAAGAUAAUGACGGUACUCAACAAGGAAGUGACGGCUAACUACGUGCCAGCAGCCGCGGUAAAACGUAGGUCACAAGCGUUGUCCGGAAUUACUGGGUGUAAAGGGAGCGCAGGCGGGAAGACAAGUUGGAAGUGAAAUCCAUGGGCUCAACCCAUGAACUGCUUUCAAAACUGUUUUUCUUGAGUGGUGCAGAGGUAGGCGGAAUUCCCGGUGUAGCGGUGGAAUGCGUAGAUAUCGGGAGGAACACCAGUGGCGAAGGCGGCCUACUGGGCACCAACUGACGCUGAGGCUCGAAAGUGUGGGUAGCAAACAGGAUUAGAUACCCUGGUAGUCCACACUGUAAACGAUGAUUACUAGGUGUUGGAGGAUUGACCCCUUCAGUGCCGCAGUUAACACAAUAAGUAAUCCACCUGGGGAGUACGACCGCAAGGUUGAAACUCAAAGGAAUUGACGGGGGCCCGCACAAGCAGUGGAGUAUGUGGUUUAAUUCGACGCAACGCGAAGAACCUUACCAAGUCUUGACAUCCCUUGACGAUGCUGGAAACAGUAUUUCUCUUCGGAGCAAGGAGACAGGUGGUGCAUGGUUGUCGUCAGCUCGUGUCGUGAGAUGUUGGGUUAAGUCCCGCAACGAGCGCAACCCUUAUGGUCAGUUACUACGCAAGAGGACUCUGGCCAGACUACCGUUGACAAAACGGAGGAAGGUGGGGAUGACGUCAAAUCAUCAUGCCCUUUAUGACUUGGGCUACACACGUACUACAAUGGCGUUAAACAAAGAGAAGCAAGACCGCGAGGUGGAGCAAAACUCAGAAACAACGUCCCAGUUCGGACUGCAGGCUGCAACUCGCCUGCACGAAGUCGGAAUUGCUAGUAAUCGCAGAUCAGCAUGCUGCGGUGAAUACGUUCCCGGGCCUUGUACACACCGCCCGUCACACCAUGAGAGCCGGGGGGACCCGAAGUCGGUAGUCUAACCGCAAGGAGGACGCCGCCGAAGGUAAAACUGGUGAUUGGGGUGAAGUCGUAACAAGGUAACCGUACUAGUACGCCGGCUG
This 1245-nucleotide ribosomal RNA is filed under the name metagenome. Its description in RNAcentral is "bacterial SSU rRNA". It matches the Rfam family "Bacterial small subunit ribosomal RNA", at positions 248 to 1520 of the family's 1533-position model. The record is from RNAcentral.